Andrographis paniculata is the source of this 496-nucleotide long non-coding RNA. RefSeq lists it as uncharacterized. The transcript has 3 exons. The record is from RefSeq and is a predicted model, not a curated record. Lineage: Eukaryota; Viridiplantae; Streptophyta; Magnoliopsida; Lamiales; Acanthaceae.
CCGCCAUUCAACCACUCUUUUUUGGUGAGAACUUCGGUGGCUAGAAGAAGACUAACAAGUCGACAUGCUGGGUGAAGAAAUUGCAAGGUUGAUACUUUUGCUUGGGAACUUGGUUAUGUUUCACAUUUUCGAGCUUGCCUCAACAAGAUGCAGAAAGAGAACCUUUCUAUUAUUGAACUCUGAUCCUUUGUACUUGGCAUAUUGCUAUUCCCACUCUCUAUUGGUUGAAAGAUUAGCUGCUAUCGACAAACUUGAAAAGAAGACAGACUAAGUAGAUGGUGCGAUGUGAAGUUCAAAUACACGAUGUGGUUUGCCGCACCUAAAUGGCUCCCCGGUACUUUGUCACUGCAUAAGCAUCCGCAUAUAUGCAUAUGUUUGGAUGAGACUGAUGCAUUAUAUGUUUGAUAUAAUGGAGUCAUCAUUUUGUGUAUAAUUACGUAUUUUGGCUUAUUAAAUUGAUCAUUGUUUUGGCUUGUUUGCAUUCUAUGUAGUUCUU